Molecule: non-coding RNA, 1899 nt
Organism: Picea glauca (white spruce)
Lineage: Eukaryota; Viridiplantae; Streptophyta; Pinopsida; Pinales; Pinaceae
Source: Rfam
AGGAGUAACUCCCCAAACCAUAACAUCUAUGCAAGGGCACAUUAGAGAAGGAUAUCAAGGGUGGAGGAGACUAAGAUAGAGGGCGUGCAGAGGAGACUAAGAUAGAGGGCACACUGUGAGCAAGCAUGAGAAUGGUGAGUGGUAGUUCCACUAAUCCCACCUAGAAUUUUUUCAUUGAGAUAUGGUUUCUCCAAGUUGCCUCUAUUUGUUUUUCCCCUUGUCUACCAAAAAAAAACAGGUUUUGACUGUGUGGAUCUUGGAAAGGUCAAGUUCAAUCUCAUUCAGCCCCCCUCUCUACCCUGGAUGCAAGAAAAAAAAUAGAGCAUACACAUGUAUGUCAUCCAAAAAGGACCCUACAACCUUCUCCUCCUCACUAUUCUCACGAUCCAGGUCUGUCCACAUAGGAGUUGUCUACAUAGGCAUUGUUUACAUAGGCGUUGUCUACAACAUUCCAUUUUGGCCCACUGGAUCUUGGAAAAUGAGGCAUCACAAAAAAUAUGGAGGUUGUCCAUAGCGUUCUCUAUAGAAUCAAAAAAAAUCUAGAAGCAUUCCAUCGUGUUCUUCAUAAAAUUUGGGUCCUUAUGAAUAAUAUGAAAGAGUUGUAUGUAGAAUGUUGAUUAAACAACUAUCUAGCUCCAUGUUCUGGGAGGGGAAUGCCUUUUAUAAGAUCUUAACCAACCCCACGAUAAAUGAGAUAAUCUAGGGCCUUUACUGCCAUUUUAAAAAAGACUUUGUUGGAUGCACCCAAAAUGUCCCAUAUCCUAUGAUUCACACUUGUUGAUAGGCAGGACGACUGAGGCUUUGUAGAGUGUCUCAGAAGUUUAGAGGAAAAAUUUCCUAAAGUCCAUGGCCUUGAUCAUGCCUAUAUUUGGAGGUCAUUCGAUCAUGUCAUAAGAUUUCCCAAAAAUCAAUAUCAAUGAAGAGGGUGUUGAAAUCAAGGAAACAUUUGAGGGCAUUCCAUAACUUUUUCCCCUUCAAGCAAUAUCACAGACAACAUGCACUCCUUUUCCUCCUCUGCAUCAAUCAUGUGAAAAUCCUUACAAACUAACGAAUGGAUUUCCAAUGAUUUUUCAAUAAUCCAUUUCUAUAAAAGGGCAAAUUCAUCAUUAGACACAUAAAAGUUGGAUAAACCCAACAACCUUCCAUCCAGAGUCAAUAAAAUUGAAACCCAUUUUUGAGAUUUGUCGGUGCCUCAUCCUAUAAAUGGAGACACCAUUAGGAAAUCUAGAGACGUUGUCAUGGGCCCCUGGAAGAGUCAUAUUUUCUUUUUAACAGCUUGUCCACCCUGAAAUCGGCUCAAUCGGAGAUAGGGUCCAACAACUGGAAGAGCAUCGCACAUAUUGCGAUGUUCGGUGCGCCCUCGGUGGCCCUUGAAAAUCUGGAGGACCGAGUACCUUCCAUGCCCAGUCAUACUCAUAACUGCAUCAGGUCUCCAAGGUGAACAACUUUUGGUUAAUAGAAAAAUGUAGGUAAGGGAAGUCAUCAAAAUGGAUCCAUAACUUCGGGAAAAGGAUUGGCUUUGAGGGCUGGGCCUAGGGGUCUAUGUCCUCAACCCAUGGGUUGCCGACAGUCUACUCGAUCUGUUAUCAUGGAGAAGGCAGGUAGUCACGUGUCGAUUGGGCUACAGACGUAGGAUGUCCCCUCACAGGGGAUUUUCCCUAGGCGGUGAACAGUCGACUCAAAAAUGGUACAAACAAGGGGAAUCUGACUAUUUAAUUAAAACAAAGCAUUUUGAUAGUCCCUGUGGAUGCUGAUGGAAUGUGAUUUCUACCUAGUACUAUGAAUUUCAAAGUGAAUAAAUUCAACCAAGCGCGGGUAAAUAGAUAGAUACUUCAAUCCUUAGAAUCAUUCAGUUUGCAGCGAGGAUCAAGCUCAGGAAGGAUAGAGACUUGGAGAAGU